UGGCGGUAAUGUGUAGUCACUUACCGACGAAAAAAUAUGUCAGUAAAUCGUAUGCUACUUACCAACGGUAAAUCCGUCGGUAAUGCAACGUGAAAAGAGCGGAAAUUUUCCCACACAUUUUUCAUUUAUUGGCGGAAAGAGCAAGAAUUUUCUAGCCCAACCUUUCUCUCUCAUUGCGAACCAUACAUUAUUAAUUUUUUUUCUACUUCUCUCUCUCUUUCAUUCCAGACUCUUCUUUCUUCUCCUUCCCCACUUCCAAUUUAUUUCUUCUUUCUUCUUCUUCUUCUUCUUCUUCAAAUCUCCCUUAUCUUCUCAAUUUCUCCCACACCAUCUCCAUUGUGCCAUGUCGCCGCCACCAUCUUCGUCAAGCCAUGUCGUCACCGUCGUCUCUCUUGAGCCACGCCGCUGUCGUCGUCUUCGUUGAGCCAUGUCGUCAUUGUCGUCUCCUUUUUUCGCUCCAUCUUCUUCUUCUCUAACAUGUGAAAGGGAGUGAUGAUGCUUCUAUUCUUCCACUAUUGUUGAGCCACACACCAUGCUUCCAAACCCCACUUCUCAUUUCCUCUAUUUUAUUUUUUGUAUGAAAUUGUUGUAAUGCUCAUAAUAUGUGUAUGCUUUUACAUAAUAAAACAAAUGAAAGUAUACAAAAAUAUUUGUUACAUUUAUGAAUAUGGGUAGAUAAAUUUUCUAAUUAGAACAAAUAAAAAUUAAAUAUUAAGAAAAAAAAGUGAAUGUGUUAUAGAUAAGUAUAAUUUACUCGGCACUAGUUUUUUAUUUGUGUGCUAGACUUCUUAUGCAACG
This 798-nucleotide long non-coding RNA is filed under the name Vigna radiata. Its description in RNAcentral is "long non-coding RNA (VRAD_LNC004601)". The record is from RNAcentral. Lineage: Eukaryota; Viridiplantae; Streptophyta; Magnoliopsida; Fabales; Fabaceae.